This 467-nucleotide ribosomal RNA is filed under the name uncultured bacterium. Its description in RNAcentral is "partial 16S ribosomal RNA". It matches the Rfam family "Bacterial small subunit ribosomal RNA", at positions 29 to 507 of the family's 1533-position model. The record is from RNAcentral.
ACGAACGCUGGCGGCGUGCUUAAUACCUGCAAGUCGAACGGAAAGGCCCUGCUUUUGUGGGGUGCUCGAGUGGCGAACGGGUGAGUAACACGUGAGUAACCUGCCCUUGACUUUGGGAUAACUUCAGGAAACUGGGGCUAAUACCGGAUAGGAGCUCCUGCUGCAUGGUGGGGGUUGGAAAGUUUCGGCGGUUGGGGAUGGACUCGCGGCUUAUCAGCUUGUUGGUGGGGUAGUGGCUUACCAAGGCUUUGACGGGUAGCCGGCCUGAGAGGGUGACCGGCCACAUUGGGACUGAGAUACGGCCCAGACUCCUACGGGAGGCAGCAGUGGGGAAUAUUGCACAAUGGGCGGAAGCCUGAUGCAGCAACGCCGUGUGCGGGAUGAUGGCCUUCGGGUUGUAAACCGCUUUCGCCUGUGACGAAGCGUGAGUGACGGUAAUGGGUAAAGAAGCACCGGCUAACUACGUG